UUUAACAUGGAAACAUGAAAAACAGGGUGGAUUGAAGAAGAUGAAGGCAACUGAAGCUUGUAGGCAACUGACCCAUACUUAGCAAUAAUUUGAUAAGGACCAUAGUACUUAGGAGAAAGCUUUAAGGACUGUCUAAUAGCUACUGAUGCCUGCCUGUAAGGCUGAAGCUUCAGAUAAACAUAAUCCCCAACUGAAAAGUCUCGUUCUGACCUCUGCUUAUCAGCUUGUUGCUUCAUUCUAUUUUGGGCUAACACUAAAUUUUCUUUCAACUUCCCACUGCUCCAACAGUAGGUAACUCCAUAGGCACUACUGGAAGAAAUGGUGGAGACUAGCCAUAAAGCGCUUCAAAAGGUGACAUCCUAAUAGCACUGUGAGAGGAAGAAUUGUACCACCAUUCUGCAAGAGGAAGCCAAGUACUCCAUGUACUGGGUUUGAAAUGAGCCAUACACCUUAGGGAACCCUCCAAGCACUGAUUAAGUCUCUCAGUCUGACCAUCAGACUGGGGAUGAUAAGCAGUACUAAAAGCCAAUGUAGUGCCCAAACAUUUGAACAACUCCUUCCAAAACAAGCUAGUAAAAAAUUUUGUCCCUAUCUGAGACAAUAGAUUGUGGUACCCCAUGCAGUUUGAAAACAUUAUCUAAGAAUAAUUUGGCCACAACAGAAGCAGUACAGGGAUGAGUCAAUGGUAUGAAAUGCCCAUACUUAGUGAAUCUACAAACCACCACUAGUAUGGUAUCUUUACCCUUGGACUUGGGUAAAUGAUCAAUAAAAUCCAUUGAGAUGUGUUGCUAAGCUUGAGUUGGAAUAGAUAGUGGCUGCAACAUGCCAGGGGCUGCACAAUGUUCACUUUUGCACCUAGCACAAGUAUCGCAUUUUUUUAUCCACUCCAAUAUAUCCUUAAGCAUACUAGGCCAAAAGAAAUGCUUCUUCAACCUUAAGUAAGUCACAUUAACUCUAGAAUGAUCUCCCAGGGGACUGUCAUGGUAUAAAGCAAUUAAUUGCUGCCUUAAUUCAGUGGAGCAGCCUGCAUAUAGCCUGUCAUGAAAGUAGAGAACUCCUUUCUUCUGCUGAAAUCCUGAAUGAGCUGUACUAUCCAAGGAUAAUUGUUGCACCAAGUUAGUUGCUUUAGAGUCUUUGUCAUAAGUUUGAAGUAAAGUAGUCAUCCAAGUAGGCAAAAUUGUAGACUGAAAGGCAUGGCAACUAGAGUCAGCCCUAACAGGUCUUCUAGAAAGGGCGUCUGCCACCUUAUUUUCAACACCUCUUCUAUAAAGGAUCUUAUAAUUGAGCCCCAAAAGUUUAGAAAUGCCCCUUUGCUGCAAAUUAGUAUGAAGCCUUUCCUCAAGCAAAUAUUUUAUACUUUCAUGAUCAGUU
This 1371-nucleotide unclassified non-coding RNA is filed under the name Hevea brasiliensis (rubber tree). Lineage: Eukaryota; Viridiplantae; Streptophyta; Magnoliopsida; Malpighiales; Euphorbiaceae. The record is from RNAcentral.